Molecule: long non-coding RNA, 513 nt
Organism: Megalobrama amblycephala (Wuchang bream)
Lineage: Eukaryota; Metazoa; Chordata; Actinopteri; Cypriniformes; Xenocyprididae
Exons: 4
Source: RefSeq, a predicted model, not a curated record
CUCAUACGUAUGUCCUCUCCUCUCCAUUGAGCUGAACUUCACAUUCAGGCAACAUUUUACACAAUAAUCCAACCAUAUCAAGAAGGUGAAACAUCCUAAACUGUGACCAGGCUUAACAUAAAGAGCUACACCCGUACAUUAGUAAGGUACUUGUUAUUAACUUUUCUUUUCCUCAUGUUCUGUGUUGGUUUAAUCUUAUCAAAAUACUAACACGUUUUGUGUUCAAGUUCAGCUGAACUGUCAACAUUCUUCAACUAAAUAAGCAAAAAGCUGAGGAACAGCAUGGAACUUCCUCUAAUGUCAGGUGUGAAUAUUAUGCUGUUGGGCUCGACUGGAUCAGGAAAGAGUGCGACAGGAAACACCAUCAUAGGUGGAGAUAGAAAACUAUUUGAAGAAGAUUUUUCUCCUGAGUCUGUAACCAGAUUCUGUGAUUCAGAAGAUACAGAGGUGGAUGGACAAACAAUCACAGUGAUCGACACUGCAGGACUCUAUGAUACAUCGAAGAAAAUUACA